AGAGCUAAGCUUAAAGGGCCAAGGGGCCUGCACUUUCUGUCAGUGCUCCACUGUUCCUGCAAAUCCAAACGCCAUGAAUCCUUGUUCAAAUCAACCCUCUUUCCCUUCCCAAAACCCUAACCCUAAUUUCCCAAUUCCCUCCCUCCCACAAAACACUAACCCUAAUUGCCCUUGCUCUCUCUCCACAACUCUAUCGUCUCUCACCUCCCUCCUCUCUCUCUCCCGCCAAACCCUAAAUUCCCAUUCUACCCUCACCGAAUCCCUAAAUUCCAACCUUGUCUCUUGUCCUUUCAACCCCAAUCAUCUCCUCCCCCCAGAAUCCCUCUUCUCCCAUUCCCUCCACUGCCCUUCCACUCAAAGUCUCAAUCUUGACCUCCCAAAUUACCGAAAUACCCUCAAAACCCCUUCAAAUUUACAUUCCCAGGACACCCUUUUCGAGGAUAAACAAUGCUCUGAACUUUGCCUUUCUUUAGAUGAUUACUUUUCUGAUUUUGGGUCUAAUUUCUUUUACAAGGAUUGUCCUGGUGUUGUUAAUUUGCUUGAUGUUGAUAACUACAAAAAAACGUUUACUUUACCGGGUUUUUUAUCCGUUGAAUGCGUUAAUUUUGAGGGCUUUAAGGAGGGAGAGAGUAAGGCUAGUGAAAAGAAGGGUUUAGGGGUUUUAGCUUCGGGCUUAUGGGAAACUAGGAGGGAAGUUGAGAGGUGGGUUGAUUACCCUGCGUCGUAUUCGUUUAAUGUUGUUUGCGGGAUUUUGGGGUGGAAAAUGGUGAAAAGAAGUGAUUUCAGGAAAUGGGUGGUUUCUAAUUCGCCGUGGUAUGGUAUUGUGAUUGAUGAGUAUAUGGGAGAUCAUAUAGUUUUGCUGGUUAGGUUGUGUUUGAAAGCUGUUGUGAGGGAAGCGAUUGGCUUGGUGGAAGUAGGGAUGGAAUAUGGAGAAGCUGAGGAGAAAGGUUCGGAUGUGAAUUUGGAGAUGAGAAUGUUUGAAUGUCCUGUUUUGCUUCAAGUUUUAAUAUGGUUAGGUUCUCAGCUUUCUGUUUUGUAUGGUGAAGUUAAUGGGAAGUUCUUUGUGAUUAAUAUGAUCAAACAAUGUAUAUUAGAGGGUGCGUCACGGUUGUUGUUGUUUCCAUCUGAAGAAAAGGUGACUGUUUCACUCAAGUUGGGACAAGAAUCACAGAGUUUGGAUGCUAAUGGUGUUAAGGAAAUUAAACAUGAGGAGCCAAUUGAGCAAAGUAAUGAACCAGUUGAAACUGUCGAUGAAACUAUUGGUGUUGGGGUGAUAUUUGUAUCCCAGGUGGCGGCAGCAGUUGCGGCAUUGCAUGAACGGUGUUUCCUUGAAGAAAAAAUAAAGCGUUUACGGUUUUCCCAACCACUUUCAAGAUAUGAGCGGAUGCUUGAGCAUGCUUAUGUUUCAGAGAGAGCUGAUGCAGAGAGGAAGAAACUUCCUAACUAUAGACCUAUAAUUGACCAUGAUGGGCUUCCUCGGCAGGCAUCAUCUAAUGAGGGCACAAGUAGGACUAAAACAAGAGAGGAGAUAUUGGCUGAAGAAAGAGACUACAAAAGACGAAGAAUGUCAUAUCGUGGGAAGAAAUUGAAGCGGACAACAUUACAGGUUAUGAGGGAUAUUAUAGAGGAAUACACUGAGGAAAUAAAAAAAGCUGGGGGCAUUGGUUGCUUUGUCAAAGGAACAGAAGAGGAAGGGUUCCUACUAUCUGAUUCACCAGUUACUUAUGACCAUGCUGUGGAUGCUGAUGAGCAUAGAAAAGGUACUAGCAACAUUUCUGAAUCAGCCAGAGGUAGCCCAAACCAUCAAAAGAGAAGAUCACACUAUGACCAGCAUACUAGAUCUACAAAUUUUGAGGAUUCCUCACAAAAUGAUUUUGAGCAGUCGAGAUGGUUUGAACACCAUGAUCUUGAAGAUGCAAGGAGAAGCAUUAAUAAAGAGAAACACAGAGAAGAGUAUCAUUCUGGAAUCUCAAAAAGACACAGAAGUCAUGGGCUGUCAGAUGACAGAAGAAGUCGUAGAAGAGAACGAGAUGAUGCUGAAUCCACUAGAGCCAUGCGCUAUGAGAGUGGAAGACGAUCUAACAUUUCUAAAUAUAAGGAUCACAAAUCAUCUUAUUCUGUUUCUAAUUCUUCAGAUGACUUUCGUUUAAGAAGGGAUGACCAGAAGUUGGACAUUAGAGACAGAAAUCGGAGGAGCUCUUAUGAGAAUCAGACGUCAGGCUCCAGGGCACAAAAUGGAUUUGAUGAUAGAUAUAAUCCUUCAGAAUCUGAUGACAUGUUUGAAGAUGAUGUUGGGAAGUAUGUCAGACCAGAAUGACAUCAUGGAUGUGCCAGUAGAUAUUCUGCAAAUGAACUAUAUCCUUAUUAAUGUGGAAAACCACAAGUAGGUUCCAUUUUUUUGGGGUUAAUGAAACUUAAUAUAUUCUAUAUUCUUGUCAAAUUUGCUUUUUGUACUUUCAGGAUGUUGCAGAUGGCAAGGGAUGACUUUUGUCAACAAGUUUGAUCAGCCCCAUAAUGCAGGUUUAGCUAGGGAAAAGGGUAUGGAAUUUGAUAGGGAAAUUGAAUAGAGUUACAACCCUUUUUCCCUCAAACAGAUGAAAAACUAUCUGUAUCAUUAUUUGGAUUAAAUUUUUAAAAAAAUUAAUUAUAAAACGUAUCUUUCGAUGCAGUGAUAUCUUUCGAUGUGGUAGGAAUUUUUUAGUCCAGCUUUCAAAUGAAUCCUUUAAAAACAAACUUAGAUUGGAAGGAAGAAGGAAUGCCAACCAAUGUAAAAGUUGAUGAUUAUAGUAGAAAGAAUUGAUCAUCUUUAAAAUGCAACAAGAUAUACAUAUAUCUCUACAUUUUUCUUCCAUUGUGGAUACUAUGGGUUGGUGUCAUUAUCAACAAUUUCCAAACCAAAGACUCACAAUCUUUGACCAAAGUUGUCAAAUCAAUUUGAGCUUGCGUCAAAUCAUGAGGGCUAAAUUCCAGAAAUCUAACAACUCCAUUUAUUUUUUUUGUGUUUGAGCUCAAUGAAUGAUGCAAGAUCAAAUUU
RNA transcript from Durio zibethinus, 3034 nucleotides. It is a transcript of the gene named U11/U12 small nuclear ribonucleoprotein, with no coding region annotated. The record is from RefSeq and is a predicted model, not a curated record. NCBI's taxonomy places the organism in Eukaryota, Viridiplantae, Streptophyta, Magnoliopsida, Malvales, Malvaceae.